RNAcentral lists this ribosomal RNA (468 nucleotides) under uncultured bacterium. RNAcentral's name for it is "partial 16S ribosomal RNA". It matches the Rfam family "Bacterial small subunit ribosomal RNA", at positions 28 to 507 of the family's 1533-position model. The record is from RNAcentral.
GACGAACGCUGGCGGCGUGCUUAACACAUGCAAGUCGAACGGAAAGGCCCUGCUUUUGUGGGGUGCUCGAGUGGCGAACGGGUGAGUAACACGUGAGUAACCUGCCCUUGACUUUGGGAUAACUUCAGGAAACUGGGGCUAAUACCGGAUAGGAGCUCCUGCUGCAUGGUGGGGGUUGGAAAGUUUCGGCGGUUGGGGGUGGACUCGCGGCUUAUCAGCUUGUUGGUGGGGUAGUGGCUUACCAAGGCUUUGACGGGUAGCCGGCCUGAGAGGGUGACCGGCCACAUUGGGACUGAGAUACGGCCCAGACUCCUACGGGAGGCAGCAGUGGGGAAUAUUGCACAAUGGGCGGAAGCCUGAUGCAGCAACGCCGCGUGCGGGAUGACGGCCUUCGGGUUGUAAACCGCUUUCGCCUGUGACGAAGCGUGAGCGACGGUAAUGGGUAAAGAAGCACCGGCUAACUACGUG